This 253-nucleotide ribosomal RNA is filed under the name uncultured bacterium. RNAcentral's name for it is "partial 16S ribosomal RNA". It matches the Rfam family "Bacterial small subunit ribosomal RNA", at positions 524 to 776 of the family's 1533-position model. The record is from RNAcentral.
UACGUAGGCAGCAAGCGUUGUUCGGAGUUACUGGGCGUAAAGAGUGUGUAGGCGGUGCUCUAAGUUUGGGGGGAAAUCUCCCGGCUUAACUGGGAGGGUGCGCCGAAAACUGGAGUGCUUGAGUAUGGGAGAGGCAAGCGGAAUUCCUGGUGUAGCGGUGAAAUGCGUAGAUAUCAGGAGGAACACCUGUGGUGUAGACAGCUUGCUGGACCAUCACUGACGCUGAGGCACGAAAGCGUGGGUAGCAAACAGG